This 432-nucleotide ribosomal RNA is filed under the name uncultured bacterium. RNAcentral's name for it is "partial 16S ribosomal RNA". It matches the Rfam family "Bacterial small subunit ribosomal RNA", at positions 29 to 507 of the family's 1533-position model. The record is from RNAcentral.
GCGAACGCUGGCGGCAGGCCUAACACAUGCAAGUCGAACGAACUCUUCGGAGUUAGUGGCGGACGGGUGAGUAACACGUGGGAACGUGCCUUUUGGUUCGGAAUAACUCAGGGAAACUUGUGCUAAUACCGAAUGUGCCCUUCGGGGGAAAGAUUUAUCGCCAUUAGAGCGGCCCGCGUCUGAUUAGCUAGUCGGUGAGGUAACGGCUCACCAAGGCGACGAUCAGUAGCUGGUCUGAGAGGAUGACCAGCCACACUGGGACUGAGACACGGCCCAGACUCCUACGGGAGGCAGCAGUGGGGAAUCUUGCGCAAUGGGCGAAAGCCUGACGCAGCCAUGCCGCGUGAAUGAUGAAGGUCUUAGGAUUGUAAAAUUCUUUCACCGGGGACGAUAAUGACGGUACCCGGAGAAGAAGCCCCGGCUAACUUCGUG